This 3810-nucleotide long non-coding RNA is filed under the name Mytilus galloprovincialis (Mediterranean mussel). The record is from RNAcentral. Lineage: Eukaryota; Metazoa; Mollusca; Bivalvia; Mytilida; Mytilidae.
UCUUUUGUAUUGUCUUGAGCAAGAUUUUGAAUUAAUAUUAACAGCUUUUCUUUAUUUUCUUUAGUACAUUAAAUAAGAUUCAAACCAUCUCACAGAUUGAAAAAUGUUUUUGUAUAACUUCACAAUAUUUUUCAUCAUUUUGGUAUAUCAAAAUGAUGUGAGAUUCUCAAAUGAUUUCUUGAUACUUUGACAAGUUUUCAAUAACACUUAUUACAAUGGAAAAGCGUUUGCUUUCGAUUUGUACCUCACGUCUGGCAAAUGGAUAUGUUUAAAAAUCUUUAAAAAAGACGAAAAAUGCCUCCAUUGUCAAAUUUUGAAUACUCCAUAUGUUAGUCUCUUUUUUGUAUGGGUAUAGAAUAAACAUAUUCAAGUACAAAACUAUAGAGCUUUUAUUUAAUUGGUAAAUUCUAUUCAAAUGAGAACAUCUGAAAAAUCCCCAGAUAAACUUUUAGCGAAAUUUUCAUGGAGAUGAAAUUUUUGCAUAAUCAAAAUCAAAUGCUUUGUGCCUUGAUAAAAGUUAAUUUUGGUUAAUCGGUUAUUGUAUAGAAAAGCUAAUGGUCUGUGAAAUGUUAUAUUUAUAUAAAUUAAUCACCAGUUUAUCAUGUCAUCAGAAUGUGCAAUUGUUAUUUUAUAUUAAAUGCAUGAUGUAUAUAAUUGCUGUCAAAAAAAGGUGUGCUUUGUGUAUGUGAGAGUGAAUAUCUUACUUCCUUGUUGGGUUGAGAGUGUCCAUAUGUUUGUCAAGUGUGAGUUAUCUUCUACAAGGUUUUGAGUAAUCAGAGCAUGCAUGUAAAGUAAUUUUGUGAUUAGAUUUUACAGAAUGAAAAUUUUACUAUAUGUAAUUUUGCUUGUAUUAUGUUAGAUUUUUUUAUGUGUGAGGACAAUAGUGUUGAUUAAAACACUUUCUUCUUUCUCUCAUGUCUUCCCCCGUUUUAUCCUGUUUUGUCAUGUUUGAUUUAAGGCUUAUAAUGAAAGUAUGAUACUCUCACAUUGUUGAAUCAUAGUAGUCGAUUAUCUCCCUUUAGUAAAACAACAAAAUAAGGGGGAGAUAAUUUUUGAUUGGCCGAAGGCAUCAUAAAUCUGGAGCAAUAAAAAGCUGUACAUCUCCCUAUUAUGCAUUGAAUAUAUGGAGAGAAAUAAAUGCAGAAAAGGGAACAUUGAGGAUUUAGAUUUUAUUUCUUUGUUAAUUUUAAAUAUUACAGUGAUUUGAAAAAAAUCUCACAAUAGUCACAAAAAAUUCUGCUGCAAGUAUUUUUUUUAUAUAGUUGAUUAUGCUCUGCAUAACAAUGAAAUAAUGAGGGUUUAUAUUGUUUUGUUUUGUUUAAAAAGCAAACAGGGUGUAAAUUUACAGACAUGUAUAUGAAGGAUUUGUGGGCAUUUAACUGUGUAGUCUUAGUGCCCCAGUGAGUAUGUACUGACUGUAUGAAUCAAGCCGUUUACAUGUGUUGGUGAAUGUAUGCCUAAUCAAUAUUUCUUAGCUUAGAUUGCAAGAUAUAAAAACAUGUUUUAAAAAUAUUUACACUAUUAUGCAUUCAGAACAUAGCAAUUGGAGUAUAUAAAGCAUGUUUUUUGGGGUUUUUUUCUUUCUUUUUAUUUUAUGAAAUUUAAAAAAUAUGCAGAUUGGAAUUUGAACCUUGGUUUAUUUUUACACGAUGAAUAAUGAAUAUGCAGUUCAAAAUUCUCAACCCCGGUUAAUAUUGAUGAGGUUAAUCAUUAAUAUGCAGACUAGAAUCAUUUGCAUUAGAUAUCCUACUAAGGAUACCAGUAGAAAUAAAAGCCUAAUAUUAUGUCGUGGCUGUGCAAUGUUAUGUCAUGUCAUGGCUAUACAAUGUUAUGUCGUUGCUGUACAAUGUUAUGUCAUGGCUAUACAAUGUAAUGUCAUGGCUUUAUAAAGUUGUGUCAUGGCUUAACAAUGUUAUGUCCUGGCUGAACACUAACCAAUUUAAGCUAAACUAUAUGAACAGUGUAUUUUAUUACAGCAUACAAAUCAUGUGUAUCACAUAACACUCAGCAUAUGCAGUUUUGAUUUAUUUAUCUGAUAUUUGAUAAUUUUUCUUUUCAUCAGGUUGUAAUUGUCUCUGAUAUUUUAUAUUAUUACUAUAUAUUUUCACAUAACCAGACUUCUGUUUAUAAUAUUUAUUAACAUAUAGGUCUAGUCAGGUGAAAAUGAUACAACCCGCUUAUAGUUUUUUUUGUACGUUUGAAUGUCUUUAUGGCUCUGUGCAAUGUUCUGUCUAUAUGACAGAUUUUAUACAUAGAUUUUAAUGGUGCUUUAUUUGUUUGUUGCUAGUUGGUUUGUAGAAUUUUUACCACAAUUCCAAUUUUCAUGUUUGAUUCUUCACUUCAAAAGUUCUGUAAGAUUUGUCUAUUGGAAUUUGGUGAAAACUUCAAUAAAAUUUUACAUCUCAAAUUUAUAUUAAGUUUUAAAUUUUACAUCUAGAAUUAAUCAUUUAUAGUUUAAGUAAGUUAUGACUCGCAUGUAAAAUUUAUCUUAUGAUUUUUCAUUUAAUGACUGCAGCCUUUAAACAACACAUGCUGAAAUAAUUUUGGUAUAAAAAUUAUCAGCAGCAAGCCAUUUAAUAUAAGUUAUACAUCUUCAAUUUUCUUAUUUUUGACCAGCAGCAGAAUUUCUCAAGUGAAGAACCUACAUGAAAAUACAGUAUUUUUCACAAGCCAGUUUAACUUGUGAUUUACACUUGACUUUUAGAAGAAUAUAUUUUUCACUUAAGAUUAUGUAUGCUUUUCACAGUGUUUUCGUAAAACACGAUGAUGUCAAUAACAAUUUUAAAGUCAUAAUUUAUUAUGAAUGAAAUGUCACAAAUCUUUCUUAUGAGUUAAUGUCCAGAAUUUUUAAGUUGUAGAUGAACAAAUUUAAUUACAUGUAGGUCUGUUUCAAUUUUAGUUAUUGUUGAUCUAAGUUGUGUUUGCCUUUAGAAUACAAAAGUAUAAUUAAUUGAAAGUGAAGUCAAAGUACAGAUAUGAGAGUAGAAUUUCCUAUGAUUGAUUUUGUACAUUGGUCUGACUGGUGUAUAGAUGUUGACUUGAGAUAGAAUGCUUUGAAUGAUGUAAACUCAGUGUAGGUAAUCAUAUAACCUCACGUUAUAAAUAUGCUUAAAGUUGCUACAAAUAAGCAAAAUAGAAAAAAAAGAAAGGAUGGGAAUAUAUAGGUAGGGUAGUUUGUUUCUUCUUUGGAAAUUUAACUGAAUUGAAAUUCAAAACUUCCAACUAUUUGUUGUUAUUUCUCUAAAACCUGAUAGUUUUGAUUUGUCAUUUCUUUUUAUUCUAUGCAUUUAAAAAACCAUUUUUCUUUUGGUUUUUUUUUUUAAUCAAAAUUUCACUUUUUUUCUAGAAUACUGAAUACCUGUUCUUCCUAUUUUACAAGAAACCAGUAUUGUUACUAAAAUGCUGGUUCCUUUUUUGAGUUCUUCCUUACAGCAGAGCAGCAUUAUAUUUUUAGAUUAACCACUAGUCAAUGUUUAUGCCUUCUGUCUCUGUGGUAACCCUAUAACUUACACUGGGUUGGUAACUUGUUACAAAGCUAUAUAUAGAUGUCUAGCUUCAAACACCCAAAUAAACUGGCAAAAACUGAAAUUAUGUUGUUUUUAUUCACAUUUUGUAGUAAUUGGUUCUGAUUUUUUGAACAGGAUGUGAAAAUCUCUUAUGUGCACAUGAAAAAAUAGCAAAGGAAUAGUGCUUUUGUUGCUGUUCUUCAUCUAAAAUUCACAGUGAGGCCUUAAACACAGAGAAAAAAGCAGUUGUGUUUACUAAGUUUCAAUACUACAAUACACCAAACAAGAGUGCACAUGUUGAAAU